This 240-nucleotide long non-coding RNA is filed under the name Pongo abelii (Sumatran orangutan). RNAcentral's name for it is "lincRNA". The record is from RNAcentral. Lineage: Eukaryota; Metazoa; Chordata; Mammalia; Primates; Hominidae.
UGGGAUGUCGGGUCAGGCCUUGGGCCAACUAGGCACUCUCGCAGUUCCUCGCCUUCAGGAAGGUGUUUUUGGCAGGGGCCUUACGGGUGCGCGCUUCGGUCCUGGAGGCUUAACCUAGCCUCUCUCCAUCAGCGCCACCGUCUGGGGCCAACAGGAGGGAGCUUUCCCCUCUGUCUCCCAGCCUUUGGACUGUCACCAAACAAGCCAUUCGUUCACCAAAUACUUAUUAAGCGCUAGCAU